UACGUAGGUCCCGAGCGUUGUCCGGAUUUAUUAGGCGUAAAGCGAGCGCAGGUGGUUUAUUAAGUCUGGUGUAAAAGGCAGUGGCUCAACCAUUGUAUGCAUUGGAAACUGGUAGACUUGAGUGCAGGAGAGGAGAGUGGAAUUCCAUGUGUAGCGGUGAAAUGCGUAGAUAUAUGGAGGAACACCGGUGGCGAAAGCGGCUCUCUGGCCUGUAACUGACACUGAGGCUCGAGAGCGUGGGGAGCAAACAGG
Molecule: ribosomal RNA, 252 nt
Filed under: uncultured bacterium
Lineage: Bacteria
Description: partial 16S ribosomal RNA
Rfam family: Bacterial small subunit ribosomal RNA
Source: RNAcentral